CUGUAACCCUAGCACUCUGGAAGGAUGAGACAGGAAGAUCACAAGUUCCAGGUCAGGCCAGGCGAUUUAGACCCUGUCUCAAAAAAGAGCUGGGGAUGCGGCUUUGUGAGAAGGUCCUGUGGCCCCCUCCAGACCCCUAAAAGUGUGCUGUUCCAGAGAUGUGCUGCCAUACUGAAGAGGGAAAAGUGUGUGAAAGGGGAAAAAACAAAACAAGAGACGAUACCGCAGACAAGACAGACAACACUUUCAGAAGACAGCAGUAACUCAGUGCCGCGACAGGUGGGCCAUUCCUCCCCUUUCCCGGGGCAGAAGACUAAACUUGGAUCCUGAAGACAGGGAGCCAGAGGUUCCAGACAAAAGAUGGGAAGAGGUGCCACUUGUAAUACCCUGUUUUCCUACUGAAUGGGGGCCUCUGCCCCUCUACAAAUGCAGGUUCCCCCUUCCCUCCCACUCCCACCCAAAUCCUAUUUUUCUGUAGAGAAAUUAAGCAAAUGAAAGACCCCAGAGAAAUCUGACAUUCAGCAUCUCCCAGGAAGUAGGGCAGACCUCAUUCAC
Non-coding RNA from Heterocephalus glaber (naked mole-rat), 555 nucleotides. NCBI's taxonomy places the organism in Eukaryota, Metazoa, Chordata, Mammalia, Rodentia, Bathyergidae. The record is from RefSeq and is a predicted model, not a curated record.